Molecule: long non-coding RNA, 499 nt
Organism: Peromyscus maniculatus bairdii (prairie deer mouse)
Lineage: Eukaryota; Metazoa; Chordata; Mammalia; Rodentia; Cricetidae
Source: RefSeq, a predicted model, not a curated record
CCAGCUAAGUGCAGCUGGGAGGCUGAGGUCAGCCUGCUCCGGACAGGCCAGGUUUCUGUGGUUCUGAGUGACCAUCAGCUGACCUCAGACUUUCCAGCAGGCAAGCUGGCAGUCCAGCAGGCUACAGAUUACAGACUGGGUGCUCCCCCUGGGAUCUGUUCACAAAGGCCACACUCCAACCCAGAUACUUUAUCCUCAUGAGGUCCUGGGAGUUCGGAGCCAUUGGAAAGAAAGCCAGGCUGGCAGACUGGAAGCCAUGCUACUGUACACGCAGGCUUCAGGCUCCAAGGGGCUGACUUGAGACCCUGUUCUGAUGCUGGCAGUCCUGAGGUCUAAGUGCUGGGGAUGGAACCCAGACACGCCUGGCAAGCACUCUACAGGUAAGCCCCCACCCCAGCUAGAACUCCAUGCCUACCACACGGCCACCCGAUUCUCCCCUCUGUCCACCCCUAUGUAGAUGUAAUUCUAAACGGUCUUAUUAAAUAAAAAACACAGAGCC